AAACUAACAAGGAUUCCCCUAGUAACGGCGAGUGAAGCGGGAAGAGCUCAAAUUUGAAAUCUGGUAGCCUUCGGCUGCCCGAGUUGUAAUCUAGAGAAGUGUUUUCCGUGCCGGCCCAUGUACAAGUCCCUUGGAACAGGGCGUCAUAGAGGGUGAGAAUCCCGUCCUUGACAUGGACCCCCGGUGCUUUGUGAUACACUUUCAACGAGUCGAGUUGUUUGGGAAUGCAGCUCAAAAUGGGUGGUGAAUUCCAUCUAAAGCUAAAUAUUGGCGAGAGACCGAUAGCGAACAAGUACCGUGAGGGAAAGAUGAAAAGCACUUUGGAAAGAGAGUUAAACAGUACGUGAAAUUGUUGAAAGGGAAACGAUUGAAGUCAGUCAUGCUCUUUGGAUUCAGCCGUUCUGCGGUGUAUUUCCAUUGAGUGGGGUCAACAUCAGUUUUGACCGCUGGAUAAAGGCACUAGGAAGGUAGCACUCUCGGGUGAACUUAUAGCCUAGCGUCAUAUACAGUGGUUGGGACUGAGGAACGCAGCAUGCCUUUAUGGCCGGGAUUC
RNAcentral lists this ribosomal RNA (553 nucleotides) under Naganishia uzbekistanensis. Its description in RNAcentral is "partial large subunit ribosomal RNA". It matches the Rfam family "Eukaryotic large subunit ribosomal RNA", at positions 62 to 621 of the family's 3401-position model. Lineage: Eukaryota; Fungi; Basidiomycota; Tremellomycetes; Filobasidiales; Filobasidiaceae. The record is from RNAcentral.